Molecule: ribosomal RNA, 139 nt
Filed under: Fusarium oxysporum
Lineage: Eukaryota; Fungi; Ascomycota; Sordariomycetes; Hypocreales; Nectriaceae
Description: partial 28S ribosomal RNA
Rfam family: Eukaryotic large subunit ribosomal RNA
Source: RNAcentral
UAUUUCGCGUAUUGUAAUUUCAACACGAGCGGGGUCAAAUCCUUUGCAGACGACUUAGCUGUGCGAAACGGUCCUGUAAGCAGUAGAGUAGCCUUGUUGUUACGAUCUGCUGAGGGUAAGCCGUCCUUCGCCUCGAUUU